This is a long non-coding RNA of Suricata suricatta (meerkat), 677 nucleotides long. RefSeq lists it as uncharacterized. Lineage: Eukaryota; Metazoa; Chordata; Mammalia; Carnivora; Herpestidae. The transcript has 2 exons. The record is from RefSeq and is a predicted model, not a curated record.
ACCAGCAAACAGAGGACCAGAAGCAAGUGAGACCAGCACCGAGAGAGAAGAUGUCCCCACACCGCGAGAGGUCAGCGAGCUGAGUGGUCACCGCAGGCCAGGACGCUCCUUCUCCCUGCCAGGGGACCUUCAGCCCCAUCAUCCAAGGCAACGUUUUGUCAGAGUCUGUUAGCUUUUGCAGGCUUCCCCGUCUCCCUGGACCAGUGGCAAAGAGCCUGGUACCCUAGAAACGGGAGCUGGUUUCCUGGAGAUGAUGUCAGACAAUCGCUUGGGGUAAGACAAGUGACCCGCCGCCCCCUCCAGGACCCGCACAUCUCACCGCUCUGCUAGCUGGGAAGUCACGCUACGUUAACUCAAUCACCCCUCCUGUGGGGGAGGUCCAGUCCCAGAACUCACAUGGCAGAGGAAGCGGAACUGGUGAUACUUCCACCGAAAACUUCGGUCGUAGGCCCCAGGGGAACCCUGCUUCGUCCUGGGAAGAGCAAAGAUGUUCUAGAACCCACGUGAUUUCUCAAAAAUUAGCCAUGUAUCUUGUUAGCCCUGAGGAAAGCUGAUGCUACGUUAAAGACAAGAAAGGCAAGCUGUGAAGGAAAGGAAGUGACUGUCAUUAAGGUUUUCUGUAGACAGAUUUGAGGAGUAAAGAAAAACCAGAAAUAAAGCCAGACCUUUUGCUUUUA